AUUGAACGCUGGCGGCAGGCCUAACACAUGCAAGUCGAGCGGUAGCACAGAGAAGCUUGCUUCUUGGGUGACGAGCGGCGGACGGGUGAGUAACGCGUGGGAAUCUACCUGGUAGUGGGGGACAACAGUCGGAAACGACUGCUAAUACCGCAUACGCCCUUUGGGGGAAAGUGGGGGAUCUUCGGACCUCACGCUAUCAGAAGAGCCCGCGUCGGAUUAGCUGGUUGGUGGGGUAAGAGCCCACCAAGGCGAUGAUCCGUAGCUGGUCUGAGAGGAUGACCAGCCACACUGGGACUGAGACACGGCCCAGACUCCUACGGGAGGCAGCAGUGGGGAAUAUUGGGCAAUGGGGGCAACCCUGAUCCAGCCAUGCCGCGUGUGAAGAAGGCCUUCGGGUUGUAAAGCACUUUCAGCUGUGAGGAAAGGUGAGUGGUUAAUACCCGCUUGCUGUGACGUUAACAGCAGAAGAAGGACCGGCUAACUCCGUGCCAGCAGCCGCGGUAAUACGGAGGGUCCGAGCGUUAAUCGGAAUUACUGGGCGUAAAGCGCGCGUAGGUGGUUCAGUCAGUCAGAUGUGAAAGCCCCGGGCUCAACCUGGGAACGGCACCUGAUACUGCUGAGCUAGAGUAC
RNAcentral lists this ribosomal RNA (630 nucleotides) under uncultured bacterium. RNAcentral describes it as "bacterial SSU rRNA". It matches the Rfam family "Bacterial small subunit ribosomal RNA", at positions 28 to 649 of the family's 1533-position model. The record is from RNAcentral.